AAAAAAGGCACUUUUUUAAGCACAAUUAUUCGGACACAAUUUAGAUUUUACGAAAAAAACUUAUUUAACCUGAAUUUUUCAGCUUUCAAUAUUUGGUGGGGCCGCCCUUAGCUCCAAUAACAACUAGACGUCUAGGCAUACUUUUUACCAAAUUAUUGUUUUGAUUGGGAUAAAUUUUCUCCCAUUCCUUCAUCAGAGCCGUUUUAAUGGUUUCCUUGGAGGAAAUUUUAUGUUUUCUAAUUUUUUUUCCAGCAAAUCCCCAUAGAGUGGAUCAGAUCUGAUGACUGCUGCGGCGUUUUUAACUGCUUGCAGUGAUACAACAGCCAUUCUUGAACCAAAUACGAGAAAAGGCAAUGGAAAACAAAAAUACCGCCCGUAAUGGUGCCAUUAUAAUAACAAGUCAGUAUAUGGAGAGCUCAUUUGCCACGGAGGAAACUGAUCCACUGCUUUGGAAAAAAGUCAACGAAAAUUAUGUUCAAAUAUUAAUGCGUAUCUGUUACACUUGGCUUGUUUCCCAGAGGGCAACGCCGGCUAGCUGUCGACCCCAAGGCUGGGUAGUUCCCUUGCCCGCCAAAUGUAGACAAAGAUGGAGACAUACUACUCCUCGGGACAUCAAAACUAACAACAACCAAAAUACAAAGAAAAUCAUAAACAGACGGCUAUCAAGUGGGUGAAGCUUGGGUGUUAUCACUUCGCGCGCCCGCCCUACCUGUGAUCAACCACAACAUUCAUUUGUCCACCCUCUGCUGGAACGGCUGCGGCUGGCCCAAUCCAUGGCUUACGCCACGCGUCCUCCCUCUAUUGUAAUUUACUCCAUCAUGUUUCAAUAUAUAUCCAAGCUUUAGUAAUUAUAAGUUGACAAUUUCAUCUUUCUCAUAAAUAAAUAGAAACACCAAAACGUUCGACACAAAGGCAAACAAGGAAAUAACAGCUGAAAUUUCGUUCAACCAUACGUAAUGGAACAUGUGUACAUGACUGGAUCCAGUUUUACGGGAGUUAAUUAAACUCGGGCCCAUACGGAGAUUAACCUACCAAGAGCUCUUGUUAAGGGUCCCCGGGACAUAAACAAUAAGGAGAUUUCCACAAAUCGCUCGACCAAAUACGGUGGACUGACGGGACCCCCGCGUCACCCACUAAGGGUUAAUCUGCUGGAACUGAACAGCUGAUUGCAGAUUUCGGUUCGUGAAAGGUGUUGGUGUUUUUACAUAUUUAGUUCAAUGGCCAAGAUUUUAUGUUAAACUGU
Long non-coding RNA from Drosophila persimilis, 1243 nucleotides. RefSeq lists it as uncharacterized. NCBI's taxonomy places the organism in Eukaryota, Metazoa, Arthropoda, Insecta, Diptera, Drosophilidae. The record is from RefSeq and is a predicted model, not a curated record. The transcript is spliced from 3 exons.